Long non-coding RNA from Papilio xuthus (Asian swallowtail), 333 nucleotides. RefSeq lists it as uncharacterized. The transcript has 3 exons. NCBI's taxonomy places the organism in Eukaryota, Metazoa, Arthropoda, Insecta, Lepidoptera, Papilionidae. The record is from RefSeq and is a predicted model, not a curated record.
AAAAAUUCUUCGUAUGUAUACAGAGCCCUCAUAGCAUAUCUACUUUAAUAAACGAUCUCCAAAGUCAACGUUGUUUAACGAUUGCUGAAUUAAAAUAAACGAAAAAAGGAAAAAAAAAAGAGUCGCAUAUAAAACGUUCGGUCACCCAACACCCCGGUGAAAGUCGCGAGAAGCUUUUAAACCGCUCGACAAGCGUGACAAGUUGACACGGACGUCCGUCAGACGCGAAACGGUUAAUUUAGAGUUGUCCGUGGGUGGGAAUGCUGGAUUGUCUUGUGAUGCUCGUUUUGUAAAGAAGGGGGCAAACGAGCAGCGGGAACACCGAGGUGUUCA